Aegilops tauschii subsp. strangulata is the source of this 2080-nucleotide long non-coding RNA. RefSeq lists it as uncharacterized. The record is from RefSeq and is a predicted model, not a curated record. NCBI's taxonomy places the organism in Eukaryota, Viridiplantae, Streptophyta, Magnoliopsida, Poales, Poaceae.
UCGCCGAAGCCGCCGCAACCGGAGAGGUGGAGACGGGGCGGCGACCUCGGGCGGAGACCCCGGGCCAUCACCAACCACCGCAGCGAUGGAGUGGAAGGAGCCAAGGAUGCCACGAGCAGGAGACGGGGACGAGUACCUACCAGCUUUGCGCCAGCGAUGACCGACACGCAGCCACCCCGAAGACCCAACAGGCGAAGCCAUCGGCCUACCCCGGCCCCCCGGAGCAAACUUCCCAACACGGCCCGGCGCCCGGACAGCCGGCACCACCGACGCCACAACGGACUCAACGACCCCCUCCGAAUCAGAGUCCAGAUCCUCUGCAUCCCCCAAAGCCCAGAACCGAGACCCAGAGAACUCCGAUGACACAACCGGGCGGCCCGCCGCGGUCGAAGAUCCAGGGAGAUCCACCAGCAAGCCAAGCGACGAGGGGGUCGACGGAAGAGACAAGGAGGAAACAAGCAGCGAAGGGGAUCCAUGGGGGGAGGCGGGAUCUAGGGAAGAAGAGAGCGGGGAGCGGGGAGGAGAGGGGGGGAGGGAGAGAACCCAUCAGAGGUUUUCGUAUGCUUCUUCCGUUGUUUUGCCGCCGGCUGCGCGUCGACGGUCGACGGCGUCGCUGUGCCGUGCGCUGCUAGCAUCUGCUGGUUGGUUCGUGAGCGGCACCGCCUAGGUGCCCUGGCUCGUGCGUCGUUCGUCGAGUGGUGGUCGUGAGAGCAUUUUGAGCUGGACCGACCUCUUCAAAUUGCUCCAUUUUUUUGGAGAUGGAGAGUUCACACACUAUCCAAACAUUCUUUUAGUCGGACCCUAUAAACCUAGUGCAAUUGUCUGAUAUGUUCCGCGCCUCAAAUCAAAGCUCAUACGUGAAGCAGAAAUGAAGCGUUUGGACGUGUUCGUCACGUCGGACCCGACACAUUGAACCCAUCCUCCCAAAUAGAUCCUCACCCCCUUUGCCCCAGGCCCGCCCUCUUGUUCUCUGCUCUGUCCUUGUCCGCGUCGCACCCUGCCCACCCUCUACCCCAACUCCGAUGUUGUCCCCCGCUUGCCUUGAACACGAUCGCCACCCUGGGACAAGAUGGAUUCGCUGGAGGAUGAGUUUGUUCACCCCGAAUGUUGAGGAGUUCAUUGAAUUGUUGUCGGUGGGCAUCGAUGAUGAUGGCAGUGAAGAGUUGAUGAUGAUGAGCAUCCUCGAACAAAUAUGGUAUAACUGGAGAUGUCGUUGAUGAGAUCGUUCAGAUGGGAGUGAGCACAUGCAUUGACGUGAUGUUGAGAUUUGUCUUUGUGGUGGUGAAGGUGUUUGGAUCGAAGUACUUGAGAGAACCAAAUAUCAAGGAUACAAAAAGACAUUUAGCAAUUGGAGCAACAGAAGGCUUUCCUAGUAUGCUCGGUUUAGUUGAUUGCAUGAGGUGGCAAUGGCAGAAGUGGCCGAUAGGUUUGUGUGGGCAAUACCAAGGUAAUACCAAAUAUGUCAUCAUCAGACUUGAAGUUGUGGAUUUGACAUGGUUUCUUUGGCAUGUCAGGAUCUUAGACGACAUCAAUGUGCCUCAGCGAUGUGCUGUUUAAGAGACUUUGUGAUGGGAUGCUCUGUCGUGCAAUUACGCCAUCAACGAGCAUGGCUACACCAUGUGGUACGACCUUACCGGUGGUAUCUAUCCUUGAUGGGCCGAGUUUAUGAAGACUACUCUCGAGGCCCAAGGUAACAAAAUGUCUCUUUGCACAAACGCAAGAAGCUGCUAGGAAGGAUAUGGAGAGGGAGUUUGGUGUGCUCUAAGCUCGCGAGACAUUGUUGGAUGUGAUGACUUUUUGUGUAUUUUUUUUGAAUAACUUUUUGUGUGAUCUUGAACAUGGUUGUGGAGGAUGAUGGUGACAUUGCUCUCACCAUACUUUUGAUUUUGAGAGGCCUUGAGUACAUGUCCUGCUCACUUGACAAGAUGUAGAGCAAGUUGUCAACUUUCUAGAGAUGAAUCGACAACUUCGAGAUCAAUAUGUGCAUGUGCAACUACUCAAUGAUCUUGUGGAGCAUAUGUGGAUUCAUGUUGUAAAUCACUAGUUUUAUGUUUGAAGUUUAUUUUUUUAAAAUUUGAAA